This 255-nucleotide ribosomal RNA is filed under the name uncultured bacterium. Its description in RNAcentral is "partial 16S ribosomal RNA". It matches the Rfam family "Bacterial small subunit ribosomal RNA", at positions 524 to 776 of the family's 1533-position model. The record is from RNAcentral.
UACGGGGGGAGGCAAGCGUUGUUCGGAUUUACUGGGCGUAAAGGGCGCGUAGGCGGCCUGUGCAAGUCAGUUGUGGAAAUCUCCGAGCUUAACUCGGAACGGUCAAGUGAUACUGUCGGACUAGAGUACAGAAGGGGCAACUGGAAUUCUCGGUGUAGCGGUGAAAUGCGUAGAUAUCGAGAGGAACACCUGCGGCGAAGGCGGGUGCUGGGCUGACACUGACGCUGAUGCGCGAAAGCUAGGGGAGCGAACGGG